This 116-nucleotide ribosomal RNA is filed under the name Pteropus alecto (black flying fox). The record is from RNAcentral. Lineage: Eukaryota; Metazoa; Chordata; Mammalia; Chiroptera; Pteropodidae.
GUCUAUAGCCAUGCCACCCUGAACAAGCCCAAUGCCUAAUCUUGGAAGCUAAGCAGGGUUGGGCCUGGGUAGUACUUGGAUGGGAGACCACCUAGGAAGACCAGGUGCUGUAGACA